This 263-nucleotide ribosomal RNA is filed under the name uncultured Eubacteriales bacterium. RNAcentral describes it as "uncultured Clostridiales bacterium partial 16S ribosomal RNA". It matches the Rfam family "Bacterial small subunit ribosomal RNA", at positions 75 to 339 of the family's 1533-position model. Lineage: Bacteria; Bacillati; Bacillota; Clostridia; Eubacteriales. The record is from RNAcentral.
ACAAUGGAUGUAGAGGAAAGUGGCGGACGGGUGAGUAACGCGUGAGGAACCUGCCUUGAAGAGGGGGACAACAGUUGGAAACGACUGCUAAUACCGCAUGACACAUAGAUGUCGCAUGGCAUUUAUGUCAAAGAUUUAUCGCUGAAAGAUGGCCUCGCGUCUGAUUAGCUGGUUGGUGGGGUAACGGCCCACCAAGGCGACGAUCCAUAGCCGGCCUGAGAGGGUGAACGGCCACAUUGGGACUGAGACACGGCCCAGACUCC